CCUACGGGUGGCAGCAGUGAGGAAUAUUGGUCAAUGGGCGCGAGCCUGAACCAGCCAAGUCGCGUGAGGGAAGACGGUCCUAUGGGUUGUAAACCUCUUUUGUCGGGGAGCAAAAGACGCCACGCGUGGCGUUCCGAGAGUACCCUAAGAAAAAGGAUCGGCUAACUCCGUGCCAGCAGCCGCGGUAAUACGGAGGAUGCGAGCGUUAUCCGGAUUUAUUGGGUUUAAAGGGUGCGCAGGGGGGAGGUCAAGUCAGCGGUAAAAUUGAGAGGCUCAACCUCAUCGAGCAGUUGAAACUGGUUUUCUUGAGUGCGCGAGAAGUAGGCGGAAUGCGUGGUGUAGCGGUGAAAUGCAUAGAUAUCACGAAGAACUCCGAUUGCGAAGGCAGCAUACCGGCGUUCAACUGACGCUCAUGCACGAAAGUGUGGGUAUCGAACAGGAUUAGAUACCCGAGUAGUC
This 459-nucleotide ribosomal RNA is filed under the name uncultured bacterium. RNAcentral describes it as "partial 16S ribosomal RNA". It matches the Rfam family "Bacterial small subunit ribosomal RNA", at positions 338 to 795 of the family's 1533-position model. The record is from RNAcentral.